This 776-nucleotide non-coding RNA is filed under the name Dendrolimus houi. Lineage: Eukaryota; Metazoa; Arthropoda; Insecta; Lepidoptera; Lasiocampidae. The record is from RNAcentral.
AUAAAAUUAUUAUGGUUUAUAUAAUUUAUUUUAAAUUUAUUUUACAUAUAAAUUUUAGUAAGUAUUAUUUAUUUUAAUAAUAAUUAAAAUAAUAAAGUAGUAAUUAAUAUUAAAAAUUUAAGAAAUUAAGAUUUAGUAAUAUAAAAAUUAAAAACUAAUUUUGUGCCAGCAGUUGCGGUUAAACAAAAUUUAAAAUAAAUUUUUUUAGUAAUUAAUUUAUAUAAAAUUAAUUUAAUUUAAAAUUUAAAUUAUUAGGUGAAAUUUUAAUUUAAUAAAAAUUAAUUUUUUAUUUAUGAUUAUUAAUAAAUUUUUAAAAAAACUAGGAUUAGAUACCCUAUUAUAAAAAAUUUAAAAUUAAAAUACUAAAAUAGUAAUUAAAUUUUAUUGAAACUUAAAUAAAUUGGCGGUAUUUUAGUUCAUUUAGAGGAAUCUGUUUAAUGAUUGAUAUUCCACGAAUAAAUUUACUUAAUUUAAUAAUUUAUAUAUCGUUGUUAAAAAAAUAUUUUAAAAUAAUUUAAUAAUAUUUAAAAAUUUAAAUUUAAAAUUAAAUCAGAUCAAGAUGUAGUUUAUAAUUAAGAAUAUAAUGGAUUACAAUAAGUUUAUUUAAAUGGAUAUAAGUUUGUAAUAGUUUAUUGAAGGUGGAUUUAAAAGUAAUUUUAUUUAAUUUUUUAAAAUGAUUAAAAAUUAAAAUAUGUACAUAUUGCCCGUCACUUUCAUAAAUAAAUUGAAAUAAGUCGUAACAAAGUAGAGGUACUGGAAAGUGUUUCUAGAAUGUU